UGGCCCAAUCUCACAGACUAAAAGUCUCAG
Molecule: non-coding RNA, 30 nt
Filed under: Mus musculus (house mouse)
Lineage: Eukaryota; Metazoa; Chordata; Mammalia; Rodentia; Muridae
Source: RNAcentral